RNAcentral lists this ribosomal RNA (569 nucleotides) under uncultured eukaryote. RNAcentral's name for it is "SSU rRNA". It matches the Rfam family "Eukaryotic small subunit ribosomal RNA", at positions 25 to 549 of the family's 1831-position model. The record is from RNAcentral.
UAACAUAUGCUUGUCUCAAAGAUUAAGCCAUGCAGGUCUAAGUGCACACGGUCGGUACAGUGAAACUGCGAAUGGCUCAUUAAAUCAGUUAUGGUUCCUUUGAUCGCUCCACACGUUACUCGGAUAACUGUGGUAAUUCCAGAGCUAAUACAUGCAAACGAGCGCUGACCCUCCUCUCCCUCUCGGGGGAGCUGGGGGGGAUGCGUGCAUUUAUCAGACCCAAAACCCAUCCGGGGGGUCUCGGGCCCCCCGGCCGCUUUGGUGACUCUAGAUAACCUCGGGCCGAUCGCGCGCCCUCCGCGGCGGCGACGUCUCAUUCGAAUGUCUGCCCUAUCAACUUUCGAUGGUACUAUAGGCGCCUACCAUGGUGACCACGGGUAACGGGGAAUCAGGGUUCGAUUCCGGAGAGGGAGCCUGAGAAACGGCUACCACAUCCAAGGAAGGCAGCAGGCGCGCAAAUUACCCAUUCCCGACACGGGGAGGUAGUGACGAAAAAUAACGAUACAGGUCUCUUUCGAGGCCCUGUAAUCGGAAUGAGCGUAUCCUAAACCCAUGGGUGAGGACCCAUU